RNAcentral lists this ribosomal RNA (405 nucleotides) under uncultured bacterium. RNAcentral's name for it is "partial 16S ribosomal RNA". It matches the Rfam family "Bacterial small subunit ribosomal RNA", at positions 30 to 526 of the family's 1533-position model. The record is from RNAcentral.
AUUGAACGCUAGCGGGAUGCUUUACACAUGCAAGUCGAACGAGUGGCGGACGGGUGAGUAAUAUAGCGGAACGUGCCCAGUAGGGGGGGAUAACUACUCGAAAGAGUCGCUAAUAGCACAUACUAUUGGAGCGGCCGAUAUGGGAUUAGCUAGUUGGUGGGGUAAAGGCUCACCAAGGCAACGAUCCGUAGCUGGUCUGAGAGGACGACCAGCCACACUGGGACUGAGACACGGCCCAGACUCCUACGGGAGGCAGCAGUGGGGAAUAUUGGACAAUGGGGGAAAGCCUGAUGCAGCCAUCCCGCGUGUAUGAGAAGGCCUUCGGGUUGUAAAGUACUUUUGGCAGAGAGGCGGUAUCUGCAGAAUAAGCACCGGCUAACUACGUGCCAGCAGCCGCGGUAAUAC